This 65-nucleotide transfer RNA is filed under the name Dipodomys ordii (Ord's kangaroo rat). It matches the Rfam family "tRNA". Rfam says of the family: Transfer RNA (tRNA) molecules are approximately 80 nucleotides in length. Their secondary structure includes four short double-helical elements and three loops (D, anti-codon, and T loops). The record is from Rfam by way of RNAcentral. Lineage: Eukaryota; Metazoa; Chordata; Mammalia; Rodentia; Heteromyidae.
GGUGGCUCAGUGGUAGAGUGCUUGCCUUUCAUACAAGAGACCCUGGGUUCGAUUCCUCAGCACCA